RNAcentral lists this ribosomal RNA (469 nucleotides) under uncultured bacterium. RNAcentral's name for it is "SSU rRNA". It matches the Rfam family "Bacterial small subunit ribosomal RNA", at positions 26 to 518 of the family's 1533-position model. The record is from RNAcentral.
AGGAUAAACGCUGGCGGCGUGCCUAACACAUGCAAGUCGAACGUCUCUUCUUUCGGGAAGAGGAGUGGCGGACGGGUGAGGAACACGUGGGAACCUGCCCUUUAGUGAGGAAUACCGGCGAGAAAUCGCCGACAAGACCGCAUAGCCCUCUUUGAUGAGAGUCAAAGAAGGAAAGCUUCGCAAGAGGCGCUAGAGGAGGGGCCUGCGUCCGAUUAGCUAGUUGGUGGGGUAAGAGCCUACCAAGGCGUCGAUCGGUAGCUGGUCUGAGAGGACGAUCAGCCACACUGGGAUUGAGAACGGCCCAGACUCCUACGGGGGCAGCAGUGAGGAAUUUUCGGCAAUGGGGGAAACCCUGACCGAGCAACGCCGCGUGCAGGAAGACGGCCUUCGGGUUGUAAACUGCUUUCUUUGGGACGAGGAAGGACGGUACCAGAGGAAUCAGCCCGGCUCACUACGUGCCAGCAGCCGC